Molecule: RNA transcript, 3028 nt
Organism: Cyclopterus lumpus (lumpfish)
Lineage: Eukaryota; Metazoa; Chordata; Actinopteri; Perciformes; Cyclopteridae
Gene: cblc
Gene name: Cbl proto-oncogene C, E3 ubiquitin protein ligase
Exons: 14
Source: RefSeq, a predicted model, not a curated record
UGGUGAAAUGCCAACUCGAUCCAUUCAAUCUGCUGAUUGUCAGGUGCAGAUGAUGAUUCUCUGUUGGAGGUGACCUUACCUUUGAACACACGGCAUCCUGUCUGAUAUAGAGCAAAGAACACAAACCUGUUUGGCUUGCUGCAACCAGGAAACCAAAUCAAAGAGUGCACCGAAGAGAGAGAGAGAGAAAGCGAGGGCGAAGAAAAGAAGAAGCAGAAACAUUUCAGCCAAUGACAAAGGACAUGUUUCUGCUGUGAUGUGAGUAGAAGUCUCCUUUCUGCUGACCCUGACAAUGUGGGACUGCUGUGCUGACGAGAUGUGCGCAUGAUGAAUACCGGUCUGACUGAGGAGUGAGAGGAGUGGAUCUCUGUGGAUCUCCGGGGCCAACAUGCAAAGCUUCGAGGGCAUUUUUAGAGAUGCCGUAAUUAAACAUGCCCUCCAUUGUUGGAUAAUGUAAUACUGUUAGAUUAUUAUCAUAUAGAUCAAGCAUGGAUGCUGUUUGAGGAGGCUAAGAUGUGUGUUUUUCAGAUGAAGCUGGGAACUCACAAAAGUCACCAUGAGGACAAUAAAUACCAUCUUAAAACUUGAGCCAGUGUGAAUAGCUGAUUCACAUAUUCAAAAGAGCUUUCACAUCUCUCAAAACAGUAGGUCCAUUAUUACUUAAUGCCACGUCCCUUUACAUAGGGACAGACCGACUUUUAAAGUUUGAUUCACAUCACUUCACAAGAGCGGAAUGAUGGCGGCAGCAGGUUCAGGAGCCUCCCUGAGCCCAACAUUGAGUUCCCAGCCCCCCACCAGUGGAGACCUGCGGCUGGUGGACAAGGCCCUCAAAAGACUGGACAAGCUCCGCAAGCUGUGCACUAAUCCCCGGCUGGGCCUGAGGAACAGUCCACCAUACCUGCCAGAGCUGGUAUCGGAGACAACAACAAUGCUCACACAGGUUUGGGAGCCCUACCGAGGCUCCAGGGCGGCAGGCAGCCAGGUGGCCCGAGAAGAUGAGGCCAAGUACCUGAGGAUCCAUGUCAGAAACCUGCUGGAUAAGACAGACAGAGCGUUGCUGCUGUUUAAAGAGGGGCGGGAGAAGAUAUUCGAGGAGACAUCCAGCUGCAGGAGGAACUUGACCAAAUUGUCCUUGCUGUUCAGUCACAUGCUCUGGGAGCUGAGGGCCAUGUUUCCAGGGGGCGGUUUUCAGGGUGACACCUACAAGCUGACUAAGACAGAGGCUAAGGAGUUUUGGACGCGUUCAUUUGGAAAAAAGUGUAUCGUGCAGUGGAAUAGUUUCAAAGAGCAGCUGUGGAGUGUACACACAUUUGAGGAAGGGAUGGAGUCCAUGGCCCUAAAGUCAACCAUAGAUCUCACCUGUAAUGACCACAUCACUGUGUUUGAGUUUGACAUAUUCACUAGACUGUUUCAGCCCUGGAGGUCACUCAUAAGGAACUGGAACCAGCUAGCAGUGACUCAUCCAGGCUACAUGGCCUUCCUCACCUAUGACCAGGUCAUAGCUCGUCUGGAACACUACCUGCACAGACCUGGGAGCUAUAUCUUUCGCCUAAGCUGCACAAGAAUGGGCCAGUGGGCGAUUGGCCAUGUGACCAGUGAAGGUGACAUCAUCCAGACCAUCCCCCAGAACACACCUCUGUACCAGGCACUCAUUCAGGGCUUCAAGGAAUGCUGCUACCUGUACCCAGAUGGCCGCGACGUUAACCCCGACCUGACAAGCUUGUAUGAACCGGCCCAGAGGGGCAAAGUCAAAGUUACAGAGGAGCAGUAUGAGCUUUACUGUGACAUAGGCAGCACCUUCCAGCUGUGUAAGAUCUGUGCAGAGAGGGAUAAGGACACUUGUAUCCAGCCCUGUGGGCACCUCCUGUGCCAACCCUGCCUCACAGGCUGGCAGCAGAAGUCAGCUGGCCACACCUGCCCAUACUGUCGCUGCAACAUCAGAGGAACAGAGUCCAUCAUCGUCGAGCCUUACCGGUCAGGCAGUAGGAAGUGGGAGGAUGAGGGGGUUGAGAAUGAAGAAGAGGGGGACCAUGAGGACAUUGAACUGAUAGUAAAAGAAAUGGCUGCCUUGAGGAAGUUCUCAAGUUUGGAUUACAAGGUACCCAGGUCCUGCCUCAGCAAUCCACCUCCGGCCCCUAAGAACCUGACAACCCCCCACUGUCCCUCUGCAUCCAGCCACUCCCAGACAUCAGAAACCAAGACUCUGGACAAACACUCCCACUCCCGUUCAUGGCUGAUGGCUGCGUUUGUGACACGUUUCCUCUCAUCAGCAGGCGGACAGUGACAAUGCAGCGCGUACAAGACACAGGAAACAGACACAAAUGAAAAGCGCUGAAUUAAUCACAGAAGCAAAGAGUGUUGACAAUGGAGCAGCGGGGCUCGGACCUUCCAGUCCAGUCAAACAGAGACGGAGACAUAAAGAGAGGGAGGAAUGGAGAGCAGACCUCAGAGAAGACAACGAUGAUCGGGAGUGAUGACGAGAAGAAUGUCGUCCUGAUAGAAAAGCAACUUCCACAAAAUAAAGACUCUUUUACGAAAGGGAGAAAUACUCACUGAUUAACAUAUCUUAUCCAGAAAUCAGCGCUGGUUAAAUAUAAGAAUAGUUUCUGCUGUCAUGUUUAACUGAAAAUGGCCGUGUGUGUAAACCACACCGCUGAAGUUGUGAUGCCGUGGGUGGGACUGAGAGGAAGUUUGCAAUCAAAGGCCUCCAACUGUUCAAUAAUCACACUGCCAUCACCUCCACAGUAGGUUCAGUACUCAAUCUUUAUAAUUAAAGUGUUUUCUGAUCUUCUGUGAAAUAAUAGAAAUUAAUGAAAUGCUCGAUAUUUGAAAAUGUGAUAUGAACGAACGAAGGGGGGGGGGGGCAAUCACAUAUCUAAAUUGAAUAUAUGAAUCAAUAGAAAUAUGUUACCUCGCCAUUUAAACCAUACCUUAAGUUUGUUCUUAUAAGUUAUGUGAGUAAAUAAAUGGCUCUACGUAACUGCACCAAACAGUCUGGUAAUAAAAUGAAAUAAAACUAUAACUGACA